GAGCGAUCAGUGUUUUCCUUGUGCUGUUUCUUAACGUUCCUUGUGCUAACACACGCACGAGACUGCACGCAAAUCAUGUAUCCACUAGGUAUGCAUCAUAGUAACACAUAUAUGCAUCAAUUCAUACCUGUCAGCGAAGUCUUGUUAACGAACAUAACGUGAGCGAACAUAAACAAACAAAGGCCAGCUGAUAGCAGUCUCACGCCAGAGUGUCCACCACAACAAUGGCUUCGGAUCUCCGCGACAGGAUUUUCCAUUUUAAUGAGAAUUUAGUCCCGCUUAAGCAACUAAUUCUUAACAACCAGUAUCCACCAGGCUUGACUGGAAAUCAAAGGAGAAUUUUGAGAAGACAGAGGGAACAUCACAUGAUAAAAGAGAACCAGCUGUAUCGCAAGAGAAGAAACAAAUGGGUUCAGAUUCCUUCAACACUGGGAGAAGUGAUGGAUAUUCUGCUUUUUUAUCAUGUCACAAGUGGCUGUCAUGCUGGUGUUGAUAAAACCAAGUCCAGGAUUUCUGACCAUUAUUACUGGCUUGGUAUGUCAAGGGACGUCAUUGCAUAUAUAUCAACUUGUACAACUUGCCAGACUUUUGAGGUUGUAAAGACACAAGCUCCCACACUUAAACAAAUUAAGGUGUCUCAACCCAUGGAAGUCGUAGGCAUGGAUCUUAUUGGUAAGUGUUUUGGUGUAUUUAUCGCCUCUACAUCAAUGGAUAAUAUUUAAUAAUGUUUAGUCCAUUUCUUUCAUGCUUUGUUGGUGGACAGACGGAAUGAAACAGAUUAUAGUUAUUGCUGUCAAAUUAACACACACACAUAUUUAUACAUGUGUGCAGUAUCU
Long non-coding RNA from Eriocheir sinensis (Chinese mitten crab), 836 nucleotides. RefSeq lists it as uncharacterized. The record is from RefSeq and is a predicted model, not a curated record. The transcript is spliced from 3 exons. Lineage: Eukaryota; Metazoa; Arthropoda; Malacostraca; Decapoda; Varunidae.